This 440-nucleotide ribosomal RNA is filed under the name uncultured bacterium. RNAcentral describes it as "bacterial SSU rRNA". It matches the Rfam family "Bacterial small subunit ribosomal RNA", at positions 338 to 770 of the family's 1533-position model. The record is from RNAcentral.
CCUACGGGUGGCAGCAGUGGGGAAUAUUGCGCAAUGGGGGGAACCCUGACGCAGCAACGCCGCGUGGAUGAUGAAGGCCCUCGGGUCGUAAAGUCCUGUUCUGGGGGAAGAAAAAUAGAAGGCCAAUACCCUUCUAUCCUGACGGUACCCCAGCAGAAAGCUCCGGCCAAUUAUGUGCCAGCAGCCGCGGUAAUACAUAAGGAGCGAGCGUUGUCCGGAAUCAUCGGACGUAAAGGGCUCGUAGGCGGUUCGGAAAGUCAGCUGUGAAAUCACCAGGCUCAACCUGGUACGGUCGGCUGAAACUCCCGAACUUGAGGGUAGGAGAGGAAAGCGGAAUUCCCGGUGUAGCGGUGAAAUGCGUAGAUAUUAGGAGGAACACCAGUGGCGAAGGCGGCCUGCUGGACAUCAACUGACGCUGAUGCGCGAAAGCGCGGGGAGCA